CCUACGGGUGGCUGCAGUGAGGAAUAUUGGUCAAUGGGCUUACGCCUGAACCAGCCAAGUCGCGUGAGGGAAGACUGCCCUAUGGGUUGUAAACCUCUUUUGUCAGGGAGCAACGCCGGCUACGUGUAGCCGGACUCAGAGUCCCUGAAGAAAAAGCCUCGGCUAACUCCGUGCCAGCAGCCGCGGUAAUACGGAGGAUGCGAGCGUUAUCCGGAUUUAUUGGGUUUAAAGGGUGCGUAGGCGGAAUGCCAAGUCAGCGGUAAAAUCGCGGGGCUCAACCUCGCUCCGCCGUUGAAACUGGCGGGCUGGAGUGGGCGAGAGGUAGGCGGAAUGCGUGGUGUAGCGGUGAAAUGCGUAGAUAUCACGCAGAACUCCGGUUGCGAAGGCAGCAUACCGGAGCCCAACUGACGCUGAAGCACGAAAGCGUGGGUAUCGAACAGGAUUAGAUACCCUGGUAGUC
Molecule: ribosomal RNA, 460 nt
Filed under: uncultured bacterium
Lineage: Bacteria
Description: partial 16S ribosomal RNA
Rfam family: Bacterial small subunit ribosomal RNA
Source: RNAcentral